Non-coding RNA from Brachypodium distachyon (stiff brome), 125 nucleotides. NCBI's taxonomy places the organism in Eukaryota, Viridiplantae, Streptophyta, Magnoliopsida, Poales, Poaceae. The record is from Rfam.
AAUGUACUCCCUCCGUUCCAUAAUUCUUGUCUCAAAUUUAUCUAAAAAUGAAUGUAUCUAUUCUUAAAAAAUGCCUAGGUACAUGUAAUAUUUCGACAAGAAUUAUGAAACGGAGAAAGUAAUAU